UAAACAAUUUACCGAAGC
This 18-nucleotide ribosomal RNA is filed under the name Streptococcus pneumoniae GA08825. The record is from RNAcentral. Lineage: Bacteria; Bacillati; Bacillota; Bacilli; Lactobacillales; Streptococcaceae.